AGCACGGCGGUGCAGCGGUCAGCACCGUUGCGUCUCAAGAAGCAGGUUCUGGGUUCGAGUCCCAGCUGGCCUG
This 73-nucleotide transfer RNA is filed under the name Anguilla anguilla (European eel). RNAcentral's name for it is "tRNA-Glu". Lineage: Eukaryota; Metazoa; Chordata; Actinopteri; Anguilliformes; Anguillidae. The record is from RNAcentral.